Molecule: unclassified non-coding RNA, 224 nt
Filed under: Hevea brasiliensis (rubber tree)
Lineage: Eukaryota; Viridiplantae; Streptophyta; Magnoliopsida; Malpighiales; Euphorbiaceae
Source: RNAcentral
CACUCUCGUCUCUUCAGAAAAGUUGAAAAAGAGAAAUGUACAGCUCAAAAAGAAGACAACAAAGCUACUAUAGAAGUAGAAGACGAUAGCCAUCUCUUAGAUUCAGCGAGAAGCUCAUUCUCUCUUGCUCUUAAAGAGUGUCAGGAAAGGAANNNNNNNNNNNAUCUGAAGCCAUUGUUCAGAUCCAGCGAAGCAGGUCUCCUCCUGUCUGGCUUCUUCGAAAU